CAUGGUCGUUCAGACUCUCCUCUCCAUCAUCUUCAUCACACGCAUUAUUAUGUGGAAAACAUGGAUCAGUAGGCAUAUGGGGUGGAGGACCUGACUGCCACAGACAUCCCCUGACUGCUCUGUGCGUCCAGAUCAAAGACGUAUGGCAAGCUCAUCAGCAACAAAUCCCAUAUUGGAGCAUCAAUGUAGGGUGACUAAGCUUGUCCCACUGAGGACAGGGUUAUAUCUCUCCAGUCCAGACCCAUUCCAGCCUGGACUGGUUAUAGCUCAGAGAGUGGCCAAGAUCCAACCCUGUGUCUGUUUACAAUUAGGACUGUUUUGAGUCUCUGUGGUUAUAUAGCAUGUGUAUAUCAGGGCUCUUCAACCUAGUUUCUGGAGAGCUACUCUACCUUCCUGUAGGUUUUCUUUCCAACCCCAGCAGUCUCUCCUCCUAGGUCUGAGGAGCACACAAGAGACUGGUCUGUCUUGCGGCAGAGAGACAUGGAUCAAACCAGGCUGCCCUGUGGACAGUAUGACUAUGACCUGCUGGUCAUUGGAGGGGGGUCUGGAGGCCUGGCUGUGGCCAAGGAAGCUGCUGAGAGAGAGGGUGCUGGUUUGGGAGGAGGGUGCUGGUCCUUGACUUGGUGGCUCCCACCCCUAAAGUCAUUAAAUGGGGUUGUGUGAUGCAGACAGUGUUUUCACCAUAUUGCUUAUUCCUUUAUAACAUAAUGUAAUUUUGUGAGUGGUUAUUGACUUUCGCUGUCCGCCAGGUCUAGCUGGUUCCAGUGUGAACGUAGGCAGUAUUCCCAGGAACCUCCUGCACCAAGCCUCUCCACUGGGAAAAGCCAUCCAGGAUGCCCGGUAGUACGGCUUUUUUUGAGGAACAGGUGUCCCAUGGCUGGGGUGAAAUGGUGGAGGCGGUACAACAACAUGUGAAGUCUGUGAGCUUCGAGCUGAGGAGGGAGCUGAGGGACAGUGACGUCACCUACCUGAACGCCCUUGGAGAGAUACUGGAGCCACACACUGUACAGGUCAGCAUGGGGGAGAGGCUUCUGGACAGGUGAGAAUAAUGGGAGUAGAAGGAGGUCUGGACAGUUGAACAGGGUGGUGGUUGGUGUUGUGUACAGCUAAGCAUGAGGAAGCAGUUUGGAUAGGGGACUUCAAGCAAGGAUUCUCUGUGUUUCCUCAUGGGAUUUCAAUAGUAACGGCUCUGGUCAGUGGUGUCAUGUCACUCUGUGGCUGUUAUCCAAUCAGGCAACAGAUGUCAACGUGAGGAGGACCUAUCACACAGCCAGCAGAGACACUCGUCAUUGCCGUGGGGGACAGGAAACAAUACCUGAUCAUACCUGGAGACAGAGAGCACUGCAUCACCAGUUUAGCAUGCAGACAAACACACACACACACACACACACACACACACACACACACACACACACACACACACACACACACACACACACACACACACACACACACACACACACACACACACACACACACACACACACACACACACACACACACACACACCACAAACAUAGAAGGAACAUCUCUACCAACGGUCCUCUCACUCUCAUUUCUCUCCCACUCUCUUCCCCAGUGAUGACUUGUUCUCUCUGUCCCCACUCCUCUGGGCGGACCCUGGUUGUGGGGGGAUCCAGUGAGGGACUGGAGUGUGCUGGCUUCCUGUCUGGUCUGGGGUUAGAGGUCACCGUCCUGGUGCGGUCACACCUGGUACCUGGGUUCGACCACAAAAGGCUGCAGAAAAUCGAGAACCACAUGCUGGUCCA
Oncorhynchus keta (chum salmon) is the source of this 1769-nucleotide long non-coding RNA. RefSeq lists it as uncharacterized. The record is from RefSeq and is a predicted model, not a curated record. The transcript has 4 exons. NCBI's taxonomy places the organism in Eukaryota, Metazoa, Chordata, Actinopteri, Salmoniformes, Salmonidae.